Molecule: ribosomal RNA, 2003 nt
Filed under: human gut metagenome
Description: bacterial LSU rRNA
Rfam family: Bacterial large subunit ribosomal RNA
Source: RNAcentral
UUAAGCUAAGAAGAGCGUAGGGAGAAUGCCUUGGCAUUAGGAGCCGAUGAAGGACGUGAUAAGCUGCGAUAAGCUGCGGGGAUCAGCAAGUAUGAAUUGAUCCGCAGAUUUCCGAAUGGAGCAAUCCGUAUGUGUAUGCACAUACAUCAUAUACUGAAUCAAAUAGGUAUAUGAGGGGAACCGCCUGAACUGAAACAUCUAAGUAGGGCGAGGAAGAGAAAUCAACCGAGAUUCUGUGAGUAGUGGCGAGCGAAAGCGGAAGAGGCUAAACCAUAGGUAGCAAUACUUAUGGGGUUUCGGACAGCAUUUAGUAUUGAUAAUUUCUAGUUGAAACGUGUGGGAAAACGUACCGAAGAGUGUGAGAGUCACGUAAGCGAAAGAGAAAGUCAGCGAGCUGUAUCCAAAGUACCGCGGGACACGUGAAACCCCGUGGGAAGAUGGGGGGACCAUCCUCCAAGCCUAAAUACUACCUAAUGACCGAUAGCGAAUAGUACUGUGAAGGAACGGUGAAAAGAACCCCGGGAGGGGAGUGAAAAAGAACCUGAAACCCUAUGCUUACAAGCACCGAGAGCACGUCAAAGUGUGAUCGGGUACCUUUUGUAGAAUGGUCCGGCGAGUUAUUGUAUGCGGCAAGGUUAAGUGCUUAAGGCACGGAGCCGAAGCGAGAGCAAGUCUGAAUAGGGCGAGUAAGUCGUAUGCAAUAGACCCGAAACCGAGUGAUCUAUCCAUGUCCAGGCUGAAGUGGAGGUAAAACUCCAUGGAGGGCCGAACACACGUCCGUUGAAAAGGCCGGUGAUGAGGUGUGGAUAGCGGAGAAAUUCCAAUCGAACUCGGAUAUAGCUGGUUCUCUCCGAAAUAGCUUUAGGGCUAGCCUCGUGAAAGAUUACUGGAGGUAAAGCACUGAAUGGGCUAGGGGUCGAAAGAUUACUGAACCCUAUCAAACUAAGAAUGCCAGAUAAUUGAUUCACGGGAGUCAGACAAUGUGAGAUAAGUCUCAUUGUCAAAAGGGAAACAGCCCAGACCCACAGCUAAGGUCCCUAAACAUUGUUAAGUGGAAAAGGAUGUGGGGUUGCAUAAACAACCAGGAUGUUGGCUUAGAAGCAGCCACUCAUUAAAAGAGUGCGUAAUAGCUCACUGGUCGAGUGACCCUGCGCCGAAAAUUCAACGGGGCUAAACAAUGUACCGAAGCUUGGGAUUCUAGAUUUAUCUAGAGUGGUAGGAGAGCGUCGAAUAAGGGGUGAAGUCAGAGCGGAAGCGCUGGUGGACUUUAUUCGAGUGAGAAUGCCGGAAUGAGUAGCGAGAAUUAUGUGAGAAUCAUAAUGGCCGAAAAUCUAAGGUUUCCUGAGGAAGGUUCGUCCGCUCAGGGUAAGCCGGGGGCUAAGGCGAGGCGGAGACGCGUAGCCGAUGCACAUACGGUUGAAAUUCCGUAGCCACCGAAAGAUUUAAGUACAGGGACGCUUUAGAAGUGAUGUAGCCGGGCGAUGGUUGACCCGGUCGUAAGGGAUCGAAAAUGAGUAGAGAAGUCAUCAUGGAAAGAGACAAGAAAAGCUGUAUGAAUAUCUUAGGUGCCCGUACCGCAAACCGACACAGGUAGAUAGGAAGAAGAUUCUAAGGCCAACGGGAGAAGGGUUGUUAAGGAACUCGGCAAGUUGACCCCGUAACUUAGGGAUAAGGGGUGCUCAAGUGAUUGAGCCGCAGAGAAUAGGCCCAGGCGACUGUUUAGCAAAAACACAGGUCUCUGCUAAAUCGAAAGAUGACGUAUAGGGGCUGACACCUGCCCGGUGCCGGAAGGUUAAGAGGAGAUGUGAGAGCAUUGAAUUGAAGCCCCGGUAAACGGCGGCCGUAACUAUAACGGUCCUAAGGUAGCGAAAUUCCUUGUCAGGUAAGUUCUGACCCGCACGAAAGGUGUAACGAUCUGGGCACUGUCUCAACAACCCGCCCGGCGAAAUUGUAGUACCGGUGAAGAUGCCGGUUACCCGCGACUAGACGGAAAGACCCCAUGG